UACGUAGGGUGCGAGCGUUGUCCGGAAUUAUUGGGCGUAAAAGAGCUUGUAGGCGGCUCUUGUCGCGUCAUGCCCUGUGGAAAACCCGAAGGCUUCAACCUCGGGCCUGCAGUGGGUACGGGCAGACUAGAGUGCGGUAGGGGAGAUUGGAAUUCCUGGUGUAGCGGUGGAAAUGCGCCAGAUAGUCAGGAGGAACACCAAUGGCGAAGGCAGAAUCUCUGGGCCGUAACUGAACGCGUGGAGGAAGCGGAAAGCAUCGGGGAGC
RNAcentral lists this ribosomal RNA (265 nucleotides) under uncultured bacterium. Its description in RNAcentral is "partial 16S ribosomal RNA". It matches the Rfam family "Bacterial small subunit ribosomal RNA", at positions 524 to 769 of the family's 1533-position model. The record is from RNAcentral.